Molecule: ribosomal RNA, 253 nt
Filed under: uncultured bacterium
Lineage: Bacteria
Description: partial 16S ribosomal RNA
Rfam family: Bacterial small subunit ribosomal RNA
Source: RNAcentral
UACGGAGGGGGCUAGCGUUGUUCGGAAUUACUGGGCGUAAAGCGCACGUAGGCGGCUUUGCAAGUUAGAGGUGAAAGCCCAGGGCUCAACCCUGGAAUUGCCUUUAAAACUGCAUCGCUAGAAUUGUGGAGAGGUAAGUGGAAUUCCGAGUGUAGAGGUGAAAUUCGUAGACAUUCGGAAGAACACCAGUGGCGAAGGCGACUUACUGGACACAUAUUGACGCUGAGGUGCGAAAGCGUGGGGAGCAAACAGG